UAGGGAAUCUUCGGCAAUGGACGAAAGUCUGACCGAGCAACGCCGCGUGAGUGAAGAAGGUUUUCGGAUCGUAAAACUCUGUUGUUAGAGAAGAACAAGGACGUUAGUAACUGAACGUCCCCUGACGGUAUCUAACCAGAAAGCCACGGCUAACUACGUGCCAGCAGCCGCGGUAAUACGUAGGUGGCAAGCGUUGUCCGGAUUUAUUGGGCGUAAAGCGAGCGCAGGCGGUUUCUUAAGUCUGAUGUGAAAGCCCCCGGCUCAACCGGGGAGUGUCAUUGGAAACUGGGAGACUUGAGUGCAGAAGAGGAGAGUGGAAUUCCAUGUGUGGCGGUGAAAUGCGUAGAUAUAUGGAGGAACACCAGUGGCGAAGGCUGCUCUCUGGUCUGUAACUGACGCUGAGGCUCGAAAGCGUGGGGAGCAAACAGG
This 429-nucleotide ribosomal RNA is filed under the name Gemmatimonadota bacterium. Its description in RNAcentral is "Gemmatimonadetes bacterium partial 16S ribosomal RNA". It matches the Rfam family "Bacterial small subunit ribosomal RNA", at positions 355 to 776 of the family's 1533-position model. Lineage: Bacteria; Pseudomonadati; Gemmatimonadota. The record is from RNAcentral.